Cyanistes caeruleus (blue tit) is the source of this 518-nucleotide non-coding RNA. Lineage: Eukaryota; Metazoa; Chordata; Aves; Passeriformes; Paridae. The record is from RefSeq and is a predicted model, not a curated record.
AAUUAUUUAAAAAGAAAUAAGACAGAGUAAAUAAGAAGCAUGAAGAUGGGAAGAGAAGAAUCUGAAGGCUAGCUAUGGGCACACCUCCAACCAGACACUCCUCUGAGCAUCAGAAUACAAUGGUGUGGAUUUGGCCUCACAUCCCACUACACAGCUGUUGCCAGGACACGAGCCAGCAAAGAGAUUUGGACCCUGUUGGUUCCAGGACUCACUGAUUCACUGUACUUAAGAAGAGGAAAGUCAACUGAGUGAAAGCAAAGAGUCAUCAUCUGAUUGAGUCUAGCAGUACAUGAUGUCUCCAGACAUGUCUAAGGUUGUUAGAGGUGAUACCAUCUGGUUGAAGCUGAUAGCCAACAAAGCAGGAGCAGACGUAACUGGAUCCUGUGUCUCUGCACUGCUGAGAGCAGGGACCACCACCUAAUGGAUAUGUUAAAAGGUGAUGCACCUCGAACAGAAACAAGUUUAAUUUCAUAUUCAAUCACCCUGAUAAUCAAGCACCAAGAAAGAAUAAAAGAUGC